RNA transcript from Cornus florida, 5621 nucleotides. It is a transcript of the gene named RING-H2 finger protein ATL11-like, with no coding region annotated. NCBI's taxonomy places the organism in Eukaryota, Viridiplantae, Streptophyta, Magnoliopsida, Cornales, Cornaceae. The record is from RefSeq and is a predicted model, not a curated record. The transcript has 3 exons.
UUUCUGUUAAUUGUUAUUAGCAUGAUUAAUUGAUGUUAUUAGUAUGAUUAAUUAAUGUUAUUAGCAUGAUUAAUUGAUGUUAAUUACCCUAGAAUGAUUUUAUGGUGGUAUAUAAAUUUCAUGAUUAUAUGUAAAUGUUGAUUUGUAUGAAAAACAUGUCUAAGUAUUGAUUUCCUAUAUUUAUUGUGUUGUUAAAUUGCUAGAAGUGAUGUAUGCAAACAUGUAUGAUCAUCCUUGAAAUUAUGAUAAAGAAUGUUUUAUUGUAUUAUAUGAAAAUCUUUUAUUCCAUAAUGUUGUAGGCAUGUGACAUACAUGCAUGUCAUUGGGCAAUGAAGGAAGGGAAAUGUUUUGAAAUGAAUAAUUAAAAGGGGUUUUGGAAAACCUAUUUGAGAAAAGGAUUUUGGUGAAAAACCCGGACGCCAAGGGGGUUGUAACGACCCGAACCCGAGGGUCCGAAUCACUAAGCGGGUCCUUACCCGAACCCGAGGUCAACACAAUACAUAAUAUAUGUGUCAUCUUAGGAUUUAUAUAUAAUAAUAAUAAAUAAAUAAAUAAAUAAAUAAUUAAAUAAUAAAAUGAGAUCAUAGCUACAAAGUAUGUCAAAACGGUCUACUAACCCAUCGAACCCUGUGGAGGAGCGUCGUCCGCCACUUUCCAUCCGUGUCCUGAAAAAUGUUAAAUAUAGGGGGUGAGCAAAUUGCUCAAUAGGUGAUGCCUAAGACACACCUCUUGUGACCCCGUAAAUCCAAAUAAUGAAUAGGACAAUUGGGAGAGGGGUCAUUCUAAGCCGGGGAAAAUACCAUAUCAAUUCCAAGUUCAAAAUGAGUAAAUGUCGUGCCAUGAAUGCAAUGCCAUGCAUGUCACUCUCCAUUUUCAAAAAACAUCCAUCACUUUACAAACUGUUAAUAUAACUCGUCCUUUGGUGACUCCGCAGCGACACGAGAGAAGGAUUGGCUACUGUUUUUGACCCUUGGUACCUCCACGGCGUCAUUUGGGGCCUAGAUAGCUCAACCACGUUAGGGCAAUCUCCCUAAUUUCCUCUAGGCUAUAUUAACACACCAACUCCUUAGUGACUCCGCAGUGACCGGGUUUUCACAAAAUCACUUUAAUCAAAACAUUUCCCCAAAAAUCUUUUUUUUUUCAUUUGUUUCAAAUCAUUUCAAACAAUUCGCCCAUUUCUUUCAUGCCCAAUGCUAUGAAUGCAUGCCACAUAUUUUUCCAACAGUAUGAAAAUAGAGGAAAUUUAUACAUCACAAUUUAACAUGUUUCUUCAUAGCAAUUUCUAGGAAAGUGAUAAAUACUAUGGCAUGUAAAUCAAUGUUUUGGCAUGCUCCUCAUAAUAUCAUCAACACAUAUAGGCAUAGAUUUUCUAAUACAACAAUCAUGUAAUUUUCAAGGCAAUCGAUUUAAAUAAAGCAUGCUUUUCAUACAAAUUUAAUUAUUUCACAUGAUAACAUAUUUCAUCUACAUAAAUCAAAUUACUUUAAAUUACAAUUAACACAAUUUAGCAUGUUAGGACAUACAAGUAAAAUUAACUCACUAAGGUGCAACAUUGUAUGGAUUAGGGACCCCUACCUCUAAUUGGAUGAAAAGCCCCAAAUUUUUCUCAAACCCUAGGAUCUUGGGAUCCCCCAAAUGUAGAUUGGCUCCGAUCAACUCGAAGCCCUCGACGCGCUCUUUAAUUUGACGCAAACGGCACUCAAAAUCUCCAAUUGAUGAGAGAAGGAUCUAAAGUUGAAGUUGUAGAAAAAGAAAAAGAAAAAUGGAGAAUUGGGAGGGAGAGAGAGAAACCUGCGGGAGAGAUAGAGAAAACUGGGAGCAAGGGUGUGGUCUCAUGACCACUUAAAAAUGGUGGUGGGUCCCACCAAUAUCUUUUCAUUUUUCCUUUUUCUUUUAUUCUUAUUUUACACCACAUACAUAUAUGCAUACACAUUUAAUUUACAACCACUUAAAACACAAUAAAUAAAAAUAAAUAUGAUGCAAAUGGACCCAACUAAAACUCCGGAAGCAACAGUUUCGGUAACGGGUCCCACACAGGUCCGUCCGGUCCGAAAAAUUGAAAAAAAACCAAAAUGAUCACCCUCGCAUUUCAAAGAGUCUUGAACUCAAUGAAAUACCCCAGACAACUCUCGGACAUAACUGACACACUCCACAGUGUCUGGUACGAAAAGGGCAAAAGACGAAAAUACCCCUGCAACGACAAAAUUCCAGAAAAAUAAAUCAGACACGUCACAGGGGUACCAAGAGUUCGUGGCGUUAAUAUAGCCUAGAGAGAACUAGGGAGAUCACCCUAGCGUGGUUGAGCCAACUGGGCCCCAAAUGACACCGUUGGGUUACCAAGGGUCAGGGACAGUGGCCAAUCCUUCUCUCGUGUCGCCAAGGGGGUACCGAGGGACGGGUUACGUUAACGGUUUGAAAAGUGAAGUUUUUGUAGUGAAUUUGAAAAUGGGGAGUGACAUGCAUAGCAUUGCAUUCAUGGCAUGGAAAUUUGUUAGUUUUGAACUUGAGAAAUUUAUGUCGUAUUUUUCUCGGUUUAGAAUGAUCUCUAUUCUUUAUCCCUAUUCAAUAUUUGGAUUCACGGGGCUAUAAGAGGUGUGUCUUAGGCGCCGCCUACUGAGCAAAUUGCUCACCCUAUUAUUUAAUAUUUUUAGGACACGGAAAAGAAGUGGCAUAUGACUUUCCACCACAGGCCUAGCAUGGAUUAAAUAAUCGUUUUUUGUUAUUUUUGUAUCUAAGUUUCACUAUUUUUUGUAAAACUUAACAUAAUGUAUUUUGUACGAAGACUUAUGGACUCUUAUUAUUGUAAUUAUAUCUAUGGGCUGUAACUUCUAUAUAAGUUGUCUAAAUGUUGUAAAGCAUGGACAUUUGAUCUUAACCUUGUAUUUUGGGACUGUAAUUAUGAUAUUUGGAUGAAAUGGUAUGUGGUUGUUCCACCACGGGAUGAACUAAGUUAAGGCAUAAUGAAUGGAGGAAAGAGAUGCUGGAAUAUAAUAUUUUGCAUUGUGUGUUGGGACAGUUUGGAUAAGUCUAGAAGGCCCGAGUGAGGCUAUUGCAUAUUUUUUUAUGCAUCUAAGCAGAUUGUUGUAGGCCCCUUUUUAGCAGAGGUCAUGCCGAAAUUUUUAUUUUUAUUAUUAUUUUAUUAUUAUUUUAUUAUUAUUAUUUUUUAUAAUUAGUAUCAUUUUAGGGUCGUUACAGGAGGAGUGUUACUUUUCUUGAGAAAUGAAGAUUCCUAUGGAUGUUUGAUGUAUUUGAAGCCAUGUGACAUGAUUGUCCAAACUGAUUACUAUGGACUGUCACAACCCUAGCGUAUAAUAGUGCUAACACCAUGGGAUGUAGAAAUGUCAGGUGGUUGAUCACAUUCCAAUUUAAUUCGAGAAUGAUUGAAUGAUAGAUUAGUGUAAUCUAAAUUACUUGAGAGUAAAUACUAGACUUGAAAUAUCUCAAACUCAUUUAUACUGCCAUAGUGCCAUUAUUAUCUGAACUAAUAUUUAACAGAACUGAGUGAGUUCUUAUGCUUCUUAAGAAUGCUAACCGCUUUAACAGAACAUUUUAUGUCAUUGGGUCAGAGUAUGCAUUCUGCAUCGCGUGUGACGAGGCGUAUCAUUUUAUAACAUUCAUUAGGAAGCUCCGUAAGAAUGGAGUUUUGGAGUGUAAAGCCCUUUUCAUGUUCCGUGUCACCAACAAAUUCAUAACCAUUUAGCACCAACAAGAAGAAAUCACCCGAAUGUCAGAGAAGGUUGUUACCUUUGACAGCAUGAGGCUCUUAUCUGAUGAUUCCAUCAAAUCGCUUGCUCUAGACGCCCUUAACGUCACAAAUCAAUUCCUACCCAACACCGUCGUAUCCUUAGCUCAUCAGAUUUCUACAUACCUCAUCUCUCGAUUUUGCUUUAGCCCCAAAAAUCUUCUUCGCCGCAAUUUGCCCAGAAUCGUCAUAGUCGUUGACGUUGAUCGAAGUCGAACGGCCUAUUAUGGCUUCUGCACUACUUCAUCUUCUGAUAAUCCCAUUCCGUCGCCGUUGUUUCCUCUGCCUUCGCCUACGUGAUUUUUGCCAGAUGAUGAAUUAGAUGAAGAUCUUUACUACAAUUGCUCACGAUACUUAUGAAGAUCCGAUAUAUAAUUGGGAUGACGAUCCAGAUCCAGACCUCAUAAACAUUGUGUGUCAGCUAAGGAACAAUUUAGAUGAAAGAGGGAGGUAUCCACUGAAACCGAUUGCGACUGACGAACCGGUAGGCUUAUUCGAAGUGGAUCCCGAGAAAGACCACGUCUGGGUGCGGACUAAGGACGAUGAUCGAUCAACCGCCGUGGCGGUGGCGGUUGGUGUGUGCCCUAUAUGUCUGGAUGUAAUGUUAACGGAGACGGAGGAGGACAUCGUGGUUGAGACUUGUUGCUUGCAUGUAUGUCACAAGCGCUGCAUUUCACGCUGGUUGUCCAAAUCCAGUUCCUACCCCACCUGUCGUCUUCAGCUUUGAUCAUGAUCUUAUUGGACAACAUGCAAUCUUUGCCCCUAAUAACAAUAAUCAAUGAAGUCAUGAUUCAUAUGCAAAGCCUACAAUGCCUGCAACUCAAUGUGCAAAGUGGAUCUUCUAUUUUCAAAGAUAUAAUAUUUUGUGGAGUUCAAACUUUUCAAUUAGGCAAGCCUCAUCUAUAAGGAAAAAUCAAUAUCUAAAUAAAGAGCAGAGAUAUGGUGAUACACUGAUUAAGGACAGGAAGAGAGUAUGUUACUUAUGCUGUUUUUUCGUGCAGCAAAAAACCCUGCCAACUUCAACAAUUUAUCUUCUUUGGAUGUUUUAUCAAGUGUCAGGGCACUGCUGUCGAGUUUCAGUUAAUGCCAAAUGGUCUGGUAUUUUUCAGCAUCAAAGUCAGAAAGCAGACACAAAAUUGUGGAGGAGGCCAAUUCUUCAGAUAAUGAGCCUAUGUUGCAUGGCCACAAGGUCCUUCCAGUAGCCUGAACAGUAUGUCUUUGAUUGUUAAAUCUGAAUCCUCAAAGAAUAUUACUGCUGGAUAAGCUCUCUCAUAUUUUCAGUAUAUACCAGAGAAGUGAUGCUAGCUGACCAAGUAGAAGAUAAGACUGACUGAAUCAAACUUCGUCAUCCAUCUGCUGUUAGUCAUCCAAGUGUAUGAAUUUAGGGUUGGGCUUGGGGUUUGUUAAAAUGGCAAUAAUUAUGGGGAUGCACAUUGAAUUGGUCAGUUGGGCGAGAAACUAGAGUUGUUAGGUUAUUUUCAUUACUCGAUCGACUGGAAAGGUGACAAAGUAGGCACCAAGAUGUCUAAAGCAGAAAGCAGAGUGCAGUGGUUGAGGUUUGUUAAAAUGGAAAUAAUUACUGUUGUUAUGGUUGUGUCUCUGGAACGAAUUGCUAAAAUUAUUAAAACCUGGUCUGAUGAGUCUGUUAUCAUAUUUCGUUCUGCAAGGAGGUGGAGGUGUUCUCUUGCUGCAAGGCUCUUGGGAGGGCAUGCCUAAAAGCAAUCUGAUAGUACUGCAUGUCUGAAGACCAGGUGACAUUGAAAGUUUUGUGUUUUCCGAGUACGUUUGUUGUAUUUUUUUAUUUUAUUUCGCACAUAACUUUGGUCAUUCAUUAUCUUGUUUGGUAAUGCAUUUUGAAAGCUAUGUUUGUCUGUCUGUC